Long non-coding RNA from Salvelinus namaycush (lake trout), 1702 nucleotides. RefSeq lists it as uncharacterized. The transcript is spliced from 2 exons. NCBI's taxonomy places the organism in Eukaryota, Metazoa, Chordata, Actinopteri, Salmoniformes, Salmonidae. The record is from RefSeq and is a predicted model, not a curated record.
AUAAGACAUAAGGAUAAUUUACACUAAUUUUACCUAAGUCAUUGGUUAGGUUAGGCAAGGUUGUUACCUGGCAGAGCCAGGUAACAAAGGGGGGAUGGGUAAGUUGUGGUCUAGGAUAGGAUGUGGCCUAUUGGAUGAUAAACUAAUAAAUAAAAAAAUCUAGCUAAACAAGCAGAUAUAGAAAUAGAAAGAAGUAUUGUUAAUUACAUGAAAAGGUUGUUUGUUUAACCAAACCUGUAUGUCCAAGAUUUUAUGCACUACAGGUGAAUUACAGGUGAAGUCACUCAAUCCAGUCACUGAGGCCUGUUGGGGGGACUAUACCAAGACUCCUGGUAACAGCUAGCUGAAAGAGUUACCCGGAUUCAUAUCACACUGCGGGAGGGUAAGACACAUUGACACUGUCGAACAAGCACAGUGUCCGAGAGGAGAACUGGAAUUAACAGAAUUCUGGGGGUCAUCUCUCGGAUGAAGAUUUCCUUUUCCCGUCAUUCCAUCCCUGUGUUUGUUCAUAGAAGUGAAAGUGUGUCUGGCUUCUUGCUGAUGAUGUUUUCUCUGGGAGAGGGUGGGGCUUUAUAGGUGGGCGGUCCAUCCUGAGCUGUCUGGUUGUGGGAGCCAUAUUCCUGAUACACCAUGAACCCCAAGAAGGCCAGAGGGUGCCGAUUACAUCCAGAUUUUCUCUUUCACAGUGACAGGAUUUUAUGGAUCGCUACAUAACACACGGAUGGGAAGUAGGGGGAGUCAGUACAUGCAAUAGGACUGAGUAUGUUACAACCGAGAAGACAAUGAGGGACCUGACUGGCAGAUGAAAAGGUUUAGAGUGUGGAGGUAUGAAGCUGUGACCUAACCUGCCUACCAAUUGGAAUGGUAGUUAUGCACUAGUGCAGUUAGGCAUGCUCUUUACCCUUACUCAGAUCCAAUUCAAAGCGAGGAAUUAGAUCUUAGCAGGAUUAGAGUCAAGUAUUUUCUAGUGGUCCACUCUCAAUAAGAAUGUGGACUAGAUCAAUUAUACCAGAGAUGUAAUGAAUGGCUUGGCAGAAUAGAAUAGAAUCGAGAUAGAUAUGUUAUUGGCAGAAAAGGGUGGGGUUUGUGUGUUAUUCGGGUCGAUGUGCUGUACGUUUAUCCCAAGUAACACAGCUCCAGAUGGAUCUGUGACUAAGGCCUUGGAGGUUUAACCACCCUAGCUCACGAGUUGGCAGUGACCUCAGGGGUGGAUACUUUUCUGACUAAUUGGUUUGACAGUAUGUUUGGGAAAUGGAAAAAUUUCAUGAUUACUGUGUUAUGGGCUACCUUCACCUGUGUGACUGUUAGUUUUGUGUGGAUGUGGUUUGAUUCCGUGUGUGAAAGUUCUCAUUUCCAGGAUUCUGGAGAAAUCGAUGACACAACAGAUGAUGAAGUACGGACCAAUUCUAAGCUCUGACAAGUGGAAGGAUGAAUGUAUGGGGCCGGAUCUAGUGGAGAACGAUUCCGGAUCUUUUAAUUAUGAGGAACCGAGAUUGGACGAGACUGUAUUUGACGUUUAGAGAAUUUAGACGGUUACAUGUUUCAAUGGAUAGACUGUUUCUUUAAUGAAGACUGUAACGAAAAUCCUAAAUAUGGAAUUAUGUUUCUGAUGUAGGUUAGAACAGUCAUUGAUGUUGAUGGAGUGUAAAUACAUGUAUUGAUGUGGUUUUAUUCUUGUAUAAACAUUUAUGUUUCUAUAUGA